AUUGAACGCUGGCGGCAGGCCUAACACAUGCAAGUCGAGCGGAUGAAGGGAGCUUGCUCCUGGAUCCAGCGGCGGACGGGUGAGUAAUGCCUAGGAAUCUGCCGGGUAGUGGGGGAUAACGUCCGGAAACGGGCGCUAAUACCGCAUACGUCCUGAGGGAGAAAGUGGGGGAUCUUCGGACCUCACGCUAUCAGAUGAGCCUAGGUCGGGUUAGCUAGUUGGUGGGGUAAAGGGCUACCAAGGCGACGAUCCGUAACUGGUCUGAGAGGCUGAUCAGUCACAUUGGAACUGAGACACGGUCCAGACUCCUACGGGAGGCAGCAGUGGGGAAUAUUGGACAAUGGGCGAAAGCCUGAUCCAGCCAUGCCGCGUGUGUGAAGAAGGUCUUCGGAUUGUAAAGCACGUUAAGUUGGGAGGAAGGGCAGUAAGUUAAUACCUUGCUGUUUUGACGUUACCAACAGAAUAAGCACCGGCUAACUUCGUG
This 484-nucleotide ribosomal RNA is filed under the name uncultured bacterium. RNAcentral describes it as "partial 16S ribosomal RNA". It matches the Rfam family "Bacterial small subunit ribosomal RNA", at positions 30 to 507 of the family's 1533-position model. The record is from RNAcentral.